AUGUUCUUUUAGCAGCACAUACACUAAGGGUGGACUGAUACAGAGAAGACUAGCCUAGCCCCUGCACAAGUAUGCAUGCAGACUUGUGAAGUGUAUAAUUUGGCA
Peromyscus maniculatus bairdii (prairie deer mouse) is the source of this 105-nucleotide small nuclear RNA. The record is from Ensembl. Lineage: Eukaryota; Metazoa; Chordata; Mammalia; Rodentia; Cricetidae.